CCAGAGGGGGUGUACAGACCAAAAUCAAAAUGGCAAACUUUUCUCUAUACCAUUUAUUUUCUUCUAAUUUGUGGAAAUUGGUUGUAUUGUGUGUAAGCUCCUUCAGAAAACGAACUUAUUUUAUGUUGUUUGUAAUAAAGCAACAUCCCUAGUAACUUGUGCUAAUUGAUUCUCCUUAUUGUUGCAGCAAGAUCACUAGCACACAUGCUGAUGUGCACCCAAUUUCACUGAGGACUCUGCGAUGCAUCUGUAUCCCAUACUAUACUCAGAAUACUCUUUAGUUGGGCGGACAGCGGGAGGUGGAUGGCUUUUGGUGCAACAUAAAAUGGCUGACAGCGGGAAACAUGGAUGCAUCAGAGGAUUGGAAGAUGCACUACAAUGGCCGAUACUGGAGCUCCCGUCCCCACCAAAGGCCUCAGGCACCCAAUGGCAGUGGCGCCUUGGCUCUUACCGGUGACUGCAGCAGCAGCGUACCAGAUAUCAGCUCCCUAGACAAGUCUCUUCAGCACUGCUUCCUUGUGGACUAGCUGACUAUCACAAUGCGGCAGAGAAAAUUCUAGUGACGGUCAGAACAUAAGCUACGGCAUGAGCUAGCGUGCAAGACACUGACAUAAUUGUGUUGGUUAGGUGUGGUCUUUCUCAGGGUAGAUAAGCUCUGGGAGUAAUCAGCGACAGGAAGCAAACUUUAAUUAGUGACUCUAAAAGCCCUCUUUUCAAAAGCUGGAAUUUUGUUGUACCUGAGUGAAAAUUAUGGUGUUCGCUACGGAAUUCUUACAUUCUGGACAACCAAUUCAGUUAGUACUGAAUCCUUCGGUGAACAAUAGAACAACAUAUGUUUUCCCAAA
Molecule: long non-coding RNA, 845 nt
Organism: Lolium rigidum
Lineage: Eukaryota; Viridiplantae; Streptophyta; Magnoliopsida; Poales; Poaceae
Exons: 3
Source: RefSeq, a predicted model, not a curated record